RNAcentral lists this small RNA (31 nucleotides) under Arabidopsis thaliana (thale cress). RNAcentral's name for it is "ATSL015080". The record is from RNAcentral. Lineage: Eukaryota; Viridiplantae; Streptophyta; Magnoliopsida; Brassicales; Brassicaceae.
AGUGACGAGUUUGAUGAGCUGAGAGAAGAGU